RNAcentral lists this transfer RNA (85 nucleotides) under Felis catus (domestic cat). It matches the Rfam family "tRNA". From Rfam's summary of the family: Transfer RNA (tRNA) molecules are approximately 80 nucleotides in length. Their secondary structure includes four short double-helical elements and three loops (D, anti-codon, and T loops). Further hydrogen bonds mediate the characteristic L-shaped molecular structure. tRNAs have two regions of fundamental functional importance: the anti-codon, which is responsible for specific mRNA codon recognition, and the 3' end, to which the tRNAs corresponding amino acid is attached (by aminoacyl-tRNA synthetases). tRNAs cope with the degeneracy of the genetic code in two manners: having more than one tRNA (with a specific anti-codon) for a particular amino acid; and 'wobble' base-pairing, i.e. permitting non-standard base-pairing at the 3rd anti-codon position. Lineage: Eukaryota; Metazoa; Chordata; Mammalia; Carnivora; Felidae. The record is from Rfam by way of RNAcentral.
GCCUGGAUGGCUCAGUCGGUUGAGCGUCCGACUUCGGCUCAGGUCACGAUCUCACGGUUCGUGGGUUCGAGCCCCGCGUCGGGCU